Molecule: ribosomal RNA, 461 nt
Filed under: uncultured bacterium
Lineage: Bacteria
Description: bacterial SSU rRNA
Rfam family: Bacterial small subunit ribosomal RNA
Source: RNAcentral
GACGAACGCUGGCGGCGUGCCUAAUACAUGCAAGUCGAGCGGACUCAUCCCUUCGGGGAUGGGUUAGCGGCGGACGGGUGAGUAACACGUAGGUAACCUGCCUGUAAGAUCGGGAUAACUAUCGGAAACGAUAGCUAAGACCGAAUAAUUGGUUCCCUCGCAUGGGGGAAACAUGAAACACGGUGCAAGCUGUGGCUUACGGAUGGGCCUGCGGCGCAUUAGCUAGUUGGAGGGUAAUGGCCUACCAAGGCGACGAUGCGUAGCCGACCUGAGAGGGUGAACGGCCACACUGGGACUGAGACACGGCCCAGACUCCUACGGGAGGCAGCAGUAGGGAAUCUUCCGCAAUGGACGCAAGUCUGACGGAGCAACGCCGCGUGAGUGAUGAAGGUUUUCGGAUCGUAAAGCUCUGUUGCCCUAGACGAACAGCAAGGGGAGUAACUGCCCUCUGUGUGACGGUA